UAUAUAUCCAGCGUGUAAAGCAAACGGUUUCUGUAAUGGACUAAUUUGAUUAUAUGUAAGUGCUGAAACGCAAGAGUUUUCGAAUGAAAGAUAAGUGUUGAUAUACCCUCAGAACUGGGCUGUUAUAGCGGGAGCCUCCCCUGUUCUCAUGCCGGAUAUAGCUAUUGCGCGAUGGCCGGACCCGAUGGGCGCGAGCCCCGAUUGAAUAUUUCCCGCGGGUCUCCUAUAGUUGUAGGGGAACUAAACAAAAACUAAACAAAAUCUCUUUUCGCGCAGGCUUUGCGCGAUUUUAUUGUGCGUUUGAACUAUAGCAAAUACAAAAAAAUAUAUAUAUACAAUGUCCUCCGCGCCACACGCCCUACAUGGCGCUAGUUGAAGGUCUGUCUUCCUCCUGCAAACAGAAAUAGAUAAUGUUAGCAAAGCAUGGCCUGGCUUGCAUCGUUGCAGGCGCCGUGCAAAUCCGCACGUAGUUACCGUGUGUGUGGCCGAGGCACUUGCGCAGUGCCGAAUGACGAUGCUGGCGCAGCUUGGUCUUUCAGGCCCUUGCGCCAUAAAACCGCAUACCUACCUACCGAAUGACGAUGCUCGGCGCGUUAGCGAGUGGCGGGGUCUCGACAUUAAGAGUUUUUAAUUGCAGGCCGGUCUUUCCGGGCCCGGGGUAUACCUCCGCUGCGUCCUUCAUAAACAGCAACAGCUCUUGCCCGCUACGAGGCAUACCUCGGAACCAUCGUUCUCGGUAAGUGUACUCUGCAAUAUAUUGGGCCAACGAUUCGUUGUCCCUCGCAAUUUUGAUGGUGUCCUGCAAAAGGAAGAAAGCCAUUGAGUUAGGUCUGUCGGCCGGAGAUACCGGGCCGUGGCUCGGUAACGGGUGCCAGCCCUGCCGGAUUAUAGUCAUACCUUCAAAUGCCGAUUUCUCGUCUCGAUGUUCUGAGCGUGCACUUGUGGAUCGAGGGGCGACACGAAUCGAAAAUACAGCACUGAAACGUUAUUUGCCUCCCAAUUGAGGGGAAAGCCAAAUGCCGAUUCCUCAAAUGGCCUUCCGCAUAUCUACCUUCCCGGGGCCCCUAUACUGUGGUUGACGGUUUUGUGUGUGGCGAACCCUGAUUGCUCGCAAUCAAUAUAUUGCGGAGCCCAGUCACUGAUGAUGGUGCUCCCGGCCUCUAUAUACUGAUAUUUAUAGGCCCACAGGACAGCUCGGGUCUUAUCGGGUACCUAGGGUGAAAAACCGACACGAAACAGGUGGUUGCUCGGAAUACUUCGCAUCGUUGCCGAUGCCACA
Molecule: long non-coding RNA, 1279 nt
Filed under: Androctonus crassicauda
Lineage: Eukaryota; Metazoa; Arthropoda; Arachnida; Scorpiones; Buthidae
Source: RNAcentral